This 343-nucleotide ribosomal RNA is filed under the name uncultured Bacillota bacterium. Its description in RNAcentral is "bacterial SSU rRNA". It matches the Rfam family "Bacterial small subunit ribosomal RNA", at positions 28 to 351 of the family's 1533-position model. Lineage: Bacteria; Bacillati; Bacillota. The record is from RNAcentral.
GAUGAACGCUGGCGGCGUGCCUAACACAUGCAAGUCGAACGAAGCACUUUCAUUGAUCUCCUUCGGGAGUGAAGUGAUUGUGACUUAGUGGCGGACGGGUGAGUAACGCGUGGGCAACCUGCCUCAUACAGGGGGAAUAACAGUUGGAAACAGCUGCUAAAACCCCAUAAGCGCACACUAUUGCAUGAUAGAGUGUGAAAAUAUUUAUAGGUAUGAGAUGGGCCCGCGUCUGAUUAGCUAGUUGGUGAGGUAAAGGCUCACCAAGGCGACGAUCAGUAGCCGGCUUGAGAGAGUGACCGGCCACAUUGGGACUGAGACACGGCCCAGACUCCUACGGGUGCUG